RNAcentral lists this long non-coding RNA (20068 nucleotides) under Coffea arabica (coffee). Its description in RNAcentral is "long non-coding RNA (CARA_LNC004631)". The record is from RNAcentral. Lineage: Eukaryota; Viridiplantae; Streptophyta; Magnoliopsida; Gentianales; Rubiaceae.
CGGGGGGAACUAAUAGGCAACGGGGCGGGGGACGGGGGAGGGGUCCCCCGCCCCAACCCCGCCCUGUUGCCAUCCCUAACCAAAAUUGAUUGUUUUUUAUUUUUUAGGGAUUGAAAGUACUCCUUUUCGUUUUGAGGGACUAAAUUUUAACAUCGCUAAUAUAUGAGGGAUGAUUGGUGCAAUUUUCUAUUUUUUUGGGUCAAAAUCACAUUAGCUUUUACCGUGUGUAAUAUUUUGUGAAUAUUGUAUGUGUUGGACUAAAUGCAACGUGCUGCAGGGACAGCCCGAAAGUACCCAACCUAAAUCACAAUGCACAACAAAAUGGCCCAACUCUCAAGUGCCCAUAGUUUUCUUCGGCUUAUCCAAAUGCAGUACAUUUCCGCCUAACUUUUCCUUUUUUGGAAAAUGAUGAAUAUUGGCCCAAACCAAAGUUACACGGGUAGAAUUCUCAUAGUCUCAUACUAAAUAGUUUUAAAAUUUUAGGUUUACAAGGAGUAAUAUUCUAUAUACAUAUAGUAUAUAUAUUGUCAGUCGGUAUGUCAAUAGGUCAAUAGGUCAAUAGGUAGAGUUUGAGUUGGAUCACUAUAAUACUGCCCAGACCCACUAAAUUUAGUUAGAUUCAGAUCCAGAUUCAGAUCCAAACUCUUAUGGGUUUGAAAAAGUAAAUCCAGAUUUGGACUCUCGUGGGUUUGAGUAUCUAAUAGGAAUUUGUGAAUAUUUUUAUUAACAUACUAUGAGAAAUUAAAGCAAAAUAUUUUUAAAAUAUAUAGAAUUCAAAAAUAAUAUAAAUACCAUCCAAUUUUUAUUUUCAAAUAAUAAAUUUAAUAUUCAAGAUGUGAUGUUUUCUUAGGUUAAGAAUGUGAUGUUUGGACAUGGAAUCAUAGAAAAUCAGAUCCUAUCCAAACCCGUGACUCCCUUCUAGGGUCUGGGUCUGGGUCUAUGUAGGGUUUAAAUUUGAGAAAUUAAAUCCAAAUCCUACUCAAAUAUAUUGGGUCUCGAUUGAAUCUGAGUAAUACUUAAUCCAUUGACAUACUAAAUUAUCUACAUUGAAUGGAUGAGAGGUACACAAAAUUAAAAUUUUAAAGAAAAAAAAGAGAGAAGAUACCUCACAUAAAUAAGUAACAAUUAGGAAGCCUUAUAAUGAAUCUUCUAUUAUUACAGGUUGGUGUCCCAUAUGGCGAUAUCUUAAGAAAACUUAUCCGUAAUAAUUCAAUAAGGCCUCCCAUUAGCUGUACUCAGGAAAGUGCAUUAGAUUGAAAGCAAAGUAGUUAUAAGGUUGUGCAGCAAAAUUUUGUAUAGGUUGAAUGCAUAUUAUUGCGUAGAUUACUUUAUUUGAGCAGAGAAAUUAGAUAAUAAAGAAUCUAUUAUGCACUUAUUUAGAAUAUGUGACUACUUUAGUUUCUCUUUUUAGUCAUCCAUAACAACUUGUAUAAAAAGAAUCAAGUUCACGAGCCUAUGACUUAUAAGUAGAAGGUUUUAGGUUCAAAACAUUUCACUUUAAAAAAAAAAAGAUUUGAAAAGUGGAGAGAGGGAGAGAGGAAUUGGAAUCUAGAAUUUAGAGAUUUUGAAAUCUCAACUUUAUUCACUAGAUCGAAACCUCGUAAGUAGAAAAUUCAUUAAUGGGAGUGUUUGGAUAGCACAUAUAUCUCAAAUAAUAUUUCACUUACAUCAUAAAGACAUUUCUCAAUUCACCUUUUUAUAUUCUCAAUUACCUUUUUAUCUCACAUAUAUCAUAUCACAAAAAGUGCUACAGUAAUUAUUCCAGAUAAUAUUUCAAGUAAUACUCUAUCACAUCACAAAUUAUAUUGUUUGACAGAUCUGCAAAUUAAAAUCUUGAGUGUAUGAAUAGCUCAAGACAAUUGUAGAAGAGAAUCAAGUAGCUUAAUUUUGACAUGGGAUACCAUUUUUGUUUGACCUAUGUGAUAGCCAAAACAGUGUACGUAAAAGAAGAAAAAGAAACGAGGGGGUCGUAAAGAUUAAUGAAAUAACCUAAUGUAGCUCCAUGGGAGUCAGAAUUAUUGGCAGGAUUCCAGAACAAUAUGAUUAGCCUUUCUGCAAAUAGCUCAUGUGUCAUCAUCAUGCACACAACUACCAUCGAUAAGUGGACAAAGCAAGAGGACAAGCUUCUGCUUCCUGGAGACAAGAGGGGCAUUCUUUCAGUUCUUUAAUACUUUCUGUUUCUUUGUUUUUUUUAUUCGUCUUCUUGAAUGGAAUGGAUAAUUAAAUGUGGUUGGUAAUUGCUUUGAGAGAGAUUUUAAGUUACACCAAAUCUCUCGUGAAUGUUGAAAUUUGGUGCCUAGACAGAAUUCUCCUAAUCAGUGAACUGAUUUAUGUUUAGUUGUCAGUCACAAGGCCCCCUUUUGUUAGCACAUAAAAUCGCACAACCGACGAUAUUUGACACAUAUAAAAAUAUAUUAAAAAAAAAAGAAGUUUAAUAAUCACAAGUAUAUAAAAAAAUAUUUGUCUCUCAUAUUGAGAUCGACCUUAACUUCAGGUAAAAUUAGUUUUACAAACACCAAAACUUUCAUUAGUCUUUCCUAAUUUUUUUCUCAUUAGGAAACUGCUAAAUAAUUACUCUAUAUGAAACAAGUAGACUGCUAAAACUGGACUGUACUUGAACUUCUUCUCUCCUUCCAAUAUUAUUAACUACCUUGCAUGAUUUCUCAUAGUUUUGGAAGAGUUUUUAGAGAGAAGCAAGGAUCAUGGGUGACUGGAUAUUAUGACAGAAUUGGUACUACAACAGCCUUGUAGUUAAGCUUUGGAGAAAGAUAAAGGCAUUUUUCAAGAUACUGUAAAUAUGAAGCUCCAUGUCGUGUUAGUGGCUUGGUGGAUCAUUAUAGAGUGUUAACCCAGAAUAUGCAGACAUUAUAAGGGAGGAAACAAAUUGUGUUAAUUUGUAGCAUAUGUAGCAGCGAAAUCUAACCCUUAAUUCAUUAUAUAUGAGCAAACUUCCCAUUGAUAAAACCAGUCAAUUAUUUUUACAUUUGUCAUUAGUUGCUUUUGUAUUAUCAAUAGUAACAGUUGUUUUGGUCCUGUUGGCUUUAUGCCCUUUCACAAGUCAAGAGCUAGCAACCCAAGAAAGUAAUAUUUUGUCAUUUGAUAGUAACAAACAUUCACGUUCUACAUAUAAACAAAAGGAGACAAAGAAAAACAAUUAUCAAUUCUUCUGUAAAUUUUGAAUGUAGAGUCAGUUAAUAAUUAACAUAGAGGUGAAUGUGAUGAUGUCUUGAGCCACGAAUUCCAGAUCCUGUUGCUCUGAUUUUGGUGACCCGCAAAUUUUGAAUGUUGCCCACAGGCUUGCAUAUGGACAGAUAGUAGUAUAGUACAUGAAAUGAAUUCUAUUCUAGUACACGUCCCGUGAAACCGAAAUUGUUAUAGACCUCUUGUUUCUAGUCCUGUCCAUUUCAGGCACUAAACUAAAUUGUUUUUUACUGCUUCCAUCAGAUUCAGGGAUUUGACGAAAGAUUUAAAAUUUUUUCAUAUUGUAUAUGUAAAUUGGGACGUAUUUGGAUUUUUUAAAAAGUAUUUAAAUAAUUGGUGAAUCGCCAAAUCCAAAUACUUUUCAAGUAAUUCAAACAAUUUAAAAGAAUUUGAGAGAAUCUUAAAUUCUUCAUAGAAUAUCUCAAUUCAAGCGCAACGUUAUUUAUUUAUUUAUUACUAAGAUUACAAGUGGCUCAGGAAUGUUGAGACCUAUACAAGCCUAUUAAAACUCAACGAUAUUGAGGGUGUCCAAAAUUAAUUAUAGCACCAUAAAUUUUUAAUAAACUAUAAGUAAUAUUUACCUACACAAAUCAUUCUUGCAAUGUACAAUUACAUUUUCUUGAAUUUAAAGUAAAUCCUGGCUUUGGAAACACUUGGAUGUGGGAGAUCUGUCUAUAAAUCAGUUUCAACCACCCAUAUAUCCAAUUUUUUCUUAGUGGUAAAAGAACAAAAGUCUAUUACUCAAAGCUAGAAGAAUUUGAUACACGGUUAAUCUACUAAACACAUCAAGAUCAUGUUAAAAAUAUAUUCCUAAAAUCUAUAUACCUCCUUAUUACUACAAUAUACAACUUCAAAAAUACAUGGCAUAAGAAAGUCUUCAAUGAAUGACCUUUCGCAUGUUUAAAUUCUUUUUUUUUUUUAAGGUAGCUUAUUUAGUAAAAAAAAAAAAAAAGGGAAUGCUAGCUUUAGUAUUUAUAUUAAAAGGUACAAGUAUUUUACUCAUAGAAUUUGGAAGACAAGUGUUGAAUUUUAAUUCCUUUUUAAUUUCUUAAGACACAAAAACUCCAAGCAUCAAAUCCUUCUGUGAAAGUAAGGGUAUAAGUUGAAUCUAUCUCAGGACUUUUCAAGAAAAAACACAGCCACAUAGAAAUCCCCGGCUUGGGCUACCAAAAACACAAUAUCCUUUUUCUUUUUCUUUUUCUUUUUUUUUUUUUGUAAAAAGAGAAAACACAAUAUCCUUUUGCAGGUACGAAGUCUCCGUCUUUGCAUGAUGGAAUAAUGCAGAUGGGAUACCUGAUAAAUUCCAACACUAGGGCCAACAAAAAGGGAAAUAAUGCCAAAAACCCUGUUUAAAAUUGCUUGGGGACAACAAGUCUAGUCGAUUUUGCAUGAGUUUUGGACCUACCAUGUGGUGCGGUUGACUGCCUGAUAAUGCAAGGCACGUUUAAUUCUCAAAUACAUGAAAAUUACGCAGUCCUUUUUGAAAUAAAGAUCUAGCUAUAGCUACUUUGACAACUUGAACACAAACUUCUUGAUUUUGGGAAAAUUUUAACUCAAGGAGGGAAAGUAUGGAAGAGUUUUCCAACAAAGAUUAUAAUUACUGGAAACAGAAAAAAGACAGAACAAAAAAAAAAGAGCCCUUUAAUUAGUAGCUUUACAUCAAUGAGUAUAUUGAAGAAAUUAAAGAGAGUUGUCCUACCUCUAAAGUCUCAUUCACUCAAUGAUCUUUUUGCUUGAAGCAUUUCCUGCCACAAACCAACAGGAAGUCAUAAAGGAAUCCAUUAGGACUUGGGGCAAAAAAUACAGGAAAAAUAAAUCCUGUCAUGUGUCUUUUAAAAGUUUGAGUUCUCUGAUGUUGACUCAUCUAUAUAAACCCGCAAACCCUCAUAUUUUACAAUAUUUAUUAACUCAAGAUUAAUCAAAUUCUUUGGAUGAAUUAUUAUGUUUUGCCCUCCAGAGAUCUCAAUUUAUUUCAAGACUUUAAUAAACUACUAUAAUUUAUUAAUCUGCAUGUGGUGCUUCAAAAAUAGGUACAAGCUUUCAAUUUAGCCUAACCAUCUUUAGAUGUUACCCUCAUCUUCUUCCAUAUUUGAUGAUUGAUGGAGAUCCUUCAUUUCUAGUCACAUGUGAUUACAUACUGCACCUUGACUUAUCAUUUGAUAGUUAAUGAUGUGACUAUCAACAUACAGCAAGAUAUGAUCAAUUUGUACAAGCUUUAAAGCUAAACAGCCUACUUCCAUUUAAUAUAGGGUAUUGUGCAUACAAUUACCUUCUUGUGCACCCUUUGAACAUUUUUAUAUUCAAAUGACAAGCUUGUAUUUUUGGGCAAAAUACAGUAUAAAAGUGUGUAUGAAACUAAAAAACAUGUGUAAGUAUAAUUAUCCUUUAGUAUAUUGUUGAGAAUAAUUACAAUAAAGUUGUAAACAUGAACUCCGAUUUACUUAAGGAAGGAAUCAGAAGAAGAUAUCACACUGACGUUUGAGAAGUUGUCAUCUCCUUAAUAAAAAAUUAUCAAGCUUUUACCCUAAUGAACAAUCUCAAUACCCUUCGACUGCUUCUAGCAUACUGCUCAUUCGAGAUUUUAGCACCUUUGGAUUUACUUUUUUUUUUUUAACAAAAAUACCUACUAAUUUUCUAUUCUUGGAAUUGAGUUAAAUAUGAAACUCGUCAUUCUCCAUUCAUACCAUUAUACAAGUUUUAGGGUGCGUUUGAUAAAAUUGAAGUUUAAAAACUAAAAUCUGAAAUCUAAAUCUAUUAAAUUAUUGAAUAUUAAAUGUUAAAUCAAAUACAUUUGAGUGUAUAUCACAUUCGGUGAUAAGUGAAUAGGUUAUCACUUAUUUUUUGAAGCAAGUUUUGCUUAGAAAAUUUAAUGUCACUUAAUUAAUUUAGAUGUUCAAUUUUUUAUUAUCAAACGUAUCUAAAUAUAUUAAGAUCUAAAUUCAUUAAGUUUAAGUACUAAAUUUGGUUAUCAAAUUGGGCCUUAAUCAUAUUAAUGUAAGUCAUUAAGGUAUGAAAAGAUUAAGGAUUGACAAGUCUUAAUCACAAUGACCCAAAAAUUUUUUUUUCUUUUUUCUAGUGGGUAAUGCUCCAAGUAUUUAAUUCAUGAAACUGAAUAAUUUGGGAAUCGAUGCCUGUGGAUUUGGUCCUUUGCUCUUGUUUCUCUCAUGCAUAAUAUGUUUAUAUGUAUACGUGAUUUGUAUACUUAUUUUGGAAUUUCAAACUUAUAUCAAGUGAAAUAUUAUAAAUUGUAAGUGAAAUUGUCAUAGAAUCACGAUGCUAAUAAAAGUUCUACUCUGGCAUCUAAAUGUGGAACCAAAUGGUAACAGACAGUUAUAGGGUUGUCAACAUCUAAUAGUAACAAACAUUAAAAAGGUUGUCAACAUUUAUUAGAAACAAAUAGUAAUAGUGUUGUCAACAUCUAAUCGUAACAGUAAAAGGGUUGUCAUCAACAUUAAAAGGGUUGUUAACAUUUGUUAGUAACAUACUAAUAGUAAGUUGGUUUCUUGGACAAUCAACAAUCAAUGAAAUAUGGGACAAAACAUCAAUAGGAAAAUUUGUUAGUUCUCCAAACACAAAGGGUGGUUGAAAGAUAAUGUUUUGGGUAAUCAUUUCUUCUUUUAAUUUUUGGGAAUCAUUUUCCCUGUUUGGAAUUCAAGUUUUUUGGCAAGUUUGUCUGCUACAAGUUUUUUAAAAACUUUAACUACAGUAACUUCAAAAAAAAUUUCAAAGUUUUUAAACUAUACACUUCAAAAUAUUCAAAAAAAACACACUUUAAAAAUUUUUUUAAAAACUUCUACAGUAAACUACAUUAAAGUUUUAGACAAACAUCCAAAAAACUCGCCGAACGGGGUAAUUGUCAUUGGAGUUGCAGCAUGUCAAAAGAUUAUCAAGUUUUGUACAUCAUCCUUUAAUGCUAGUUUUAGUGUGCUGCUAAAAAAUAGGUAAAAACAUUUAACAUGACAAUUAAUGGUAAUUGCAUCCGUCCAACAUAUGUCUAGCAGUAGGAAAGGAGACUAGUCCUUGACAAUGGUAAUACCUAAUAAAUUCGAUAAUCAACAAUAAAGGUUAUUCAUUUUCUAAAUGAAAAUUGAAAGAUACAUGUUGUAUAAUGUGCGUCUGAUUACCAACUGUUUCUAUUUGUUUCUAGAGGGAAUAAUAAUUUUCACAAAUCAUGUACUCAUUUUUCUUGGCUUAAAUCAUAAUUCAAAACUGAUCUCCCUCUUUACUAAAUAACCACAAAUAAGUUUUAAUUCAGCAAAUUAAGAGGCAUAAAAAGGUUGAAGGGCAUUUCACAAUAAUGUCAUCAUGAUUGGUUGGUAGUAAUCUUAUUGCUAGUUCAAAAUUACCAACUAUUAUGUCAUUUAUAGCGUUACAAAACUUCCUUACGGUAGGUACAUCAUUCACGUUUGGAAACUAUUAUAUAUGCACUCAUUUAUUUGUUAAUGACACUGUUCUUUUCUUCUUCUUCUUUUUUUUCCAAUCAUGUGAGUUAGAUACAUAUUACUCUUAUUCUUCACUUCACUUAUGAAAGUAUGAAUAUCUUCAUCGUUCACAUGUGUAAAAAAAGUAAAGGGAUGUGGUAUUAAAGUAACAAAUAUGAGAGUGAUAUUAUCAAUUUCCCGUGAUCUAUCUUUGCAACAUUAUUUAGUAAGAAUACAUAUCCUGCUAUUUUGACUCUAUAGCAUAAUAAUGAUAAGACUUGGGAAAGGAUAACAGCCAACAAUGCUCCAAAAAAAAAAAAAAUACAAGAACGCAAAUAAGGUCAAGUUUUAGCUUAAAAAUAGAGAAGCACUUAAUAUAAAAAAUGAAAAAGAGCUUAAGGUUUACAUAGAAAAAUCAUAAAGGAUUUUUGCUGUACUUAACCCUUUCCGUAUUUUCUUGAUAGCCAGUCACGUUAGGAGGCGCAUGCCAUCGAGAAUGUUAAGAACAUCAAAGUACUAAAACAGCUAGCUCAUACAAACUUAACUUUUCUUAAGUCAUAAACAAGGUGGUCCGAUCCCUACUUGUUGGAAGAACAAACAAUAUUGUCUCCAAGAUUCCAAGUCACAUCUAUAUCCACUUUAAUCAUGGUUACAAAACUCGACUGUUAAUGAAUCAUUAUAGACAAUAAGUUCUGCAAUUCAACCUACCAAUUGCUCCCCACCCACAUGUUUAAACAAUCUAAAAGUUGAACAUAAACUUUGUCAAUUCAUCAUUUGAAAGCAUGUUGUUAGCCCCACAACACCUUAGGUGAAACCAAUCUCUUUUAAACUGUUCACCUAAUCCCUUUUUAAGAUACAUAUAGGAUUUUGCUCAACUUAGUUAAAUUUACAACUAUUUUUAUAGUUCCCUUUUCUUCGAUAUUUGUGAGUUAGCCAGUUAGGUGGUUUCUCAAUUCUGUCAAAUUGCAUUCAUCAGUACUGAUUUGCAUUCUUGACCCCUGAAAUUCAUCCUAAAAGAUGAACAAUAAUGCUAGCAAGGUUGUGAUUCAGACAAUAAACUACAUUUAAUAAAGUUUUUCAUAUCGUUUUCUAUUCAAGUGUAAUUAUUAUCCACCAUUUUUCUUUUUAAUUCAACUAACAGAAAAAGAUUAGUUUAGAUGAGGCUUACACGUGUUAAACCACUUUUUGCUAAGCUCUUUUUUUAAGAGAAUAAUGAUCAUUUCUACCUCUUUUUUAUAUCAAAUUGGUUAUCCGCACAUUAUCAUAAAUUAAAAAUUAAUUAGGUGAACUAAUAUCUACUAGAAAUUAGUUGAAAUAGCAUUAACCAUUCAAUAGUUUAGUCUAACACACGCAAAAGUGCAAGUUUUCCUUGUACACUAAACAUUCUUCACUUGAGUGUAAUCAUGAGAAUAUAGAACCCAAUGUCUUAAAGCACUUAUCUCCAACUGAUAUCAUAAUGAAGCUGUGGAUUAAGUUUUGGCAAGGGAAUUUUAGGUUUAGUAAAAGACCAUCAAGUUUAUGCUUUAAGUGCAAAGAGUAAAAAUGCAAUUUGGUUUCUGCUUUUAAUUUUGGCGGGUGUAGUUGUGGGAGGGGACCGUGUUAAAUGACUUCGAGUUGUUGACCACCAUUUUAGAGAAGAAAUUGAUUUUUCUCCUUUUCUCUUUUCAUUGCCAUAUAGGGUAAUUAGGGUCAUGCCUAUUGAUGUCUGUUAUUGUUCUUAGAAGAUAGAGAGACUAUUUACUAGUAUUUAUUGUCAAACACUCAAACCCAACUGGCAAACCCCAACAGACUGCAAAAGAAUUUAUGCAGGACAUUGUUUUUUAUAACCAGCACUCCAACAUCAAUAAUUAUUCAUUGAUAGUGUACCAAACUAUAAUAUAUAUUGAUAUGUGUGUUUUAUAUGUAGGGUUCUACUAUUUCAUGCUCUAAGGGCAGACGAUAAGAAAUGCGUCUAAUAUAACAAUUCUUUUUUAUAUAUAAAGAACAAGUCUUUUGCAGAAAUAUUGUAUACAAUUCAAAGGAAAAAAAUGGUGAUUUUAAAAAUUGUUAAUAAUGGGUCCAGUCCUUUUAUUUGAUAUGCUUAUCACUUUCCUUAAGACAACAAAUAAAAAAAUUCUGCAUAUACAUGCGUCUGUAUCUAUUAAAGUAUGUACGUGUAGGUGUAUAGACGUAUACAUAAACAAAUACACACACGAAUGAACAUAUAUACAGAUGUGUAUAUAUAUAUAUAUAUAUAUAUAUAUAUAUACACGUAACACCUACACAUACUCACACCCAUUUUGUUUUAAUCAUUUUAAUACGGAUAAAUUAAGGUGUAAUUCUGAAUGUACGAGUAUUCAACAACUAUAAUUACUGUCUAACAAAAAUUAUGAUCGAUACCAUAUUCUAAAGCAAUUAGCAAUACUGCAAAGAACUAAAUGUGUACAUGAUUUAUGCAAAACAACCACUUUUUUUGGCGCAAAAGAGAUUUAUAGUCUUACUCCUAGGAGGGAAAAAAAAAAGGGCAGGACUCAUGAGUCAGAUUAGAGCUAACUAUUAUGCCUAUCAAUUAAGCAUGAUCUUAAGAUGCAAAACAACCGCUUUGACUAGAGGCGUCAAAAUGGGUGACUUGGGUGGAUUUGGGUUGGAUAAAAUGGGUAAUGGGUAUAAGUGAGUCAACCCAUUUAUACCCAUUUAAUUAGAUGGAUAUAAAUGGGUAAGUCAAAAAAUGAAUUGAGUAACCCAAUGACCUAUUUAUAACCCAUUUAUUUUAACUUUUUGUAAACUCAUUUAAAUUCAUUUUUGCAAACUAAGUUAUCAAUUUAUACCACUCUUUGUACCCAUCAUUAGUUUUAAAUACUUACUUAUAAUGCUCAAUAAGCCUAAUUACCAAUUUUUUUCCAUUUAUACUCUAUGUCGCAAAAUUACAUAUUAUUUAAUAAUUGAAUAAUAAGAAUAUAAGAAUUUGAACUAAGUACUCUAAAAGUUAAUAUAAAAGCUUAAUUCAAAAAUUUUGAACCCCUAACAUUUUUUUCAUAUAUAAAUUUAAAAUUUCAUUUUAGAAAGAUAAGAAAAGAGAUUAAAACUUAUCAUAAAGUGGUAAUGCUAAAAAAUGAACAAGUUAACAAACUAAGAGAAAAUAAAAUAAUAAGAUAAAACCAACAAAUAAUAAUAAUAAUGAAACAAAAGUAGUUAACAUCUUGACAAAAUGAAAAAUCUGAAAAAAAAAAUAGGUGGGGGAAUAUAAGAGACUUGGGGGAAGAGAAUUCUAAAUGGGUUAAUUGGGUUUGAUGGGUUACCCAAUAAUACCCAUUUAUUAAAUGAGUAUUAUUAGGUAACCCAUUUAUACUCAUAUAUAAAAAUUUAAGAUACUCAUACCCAUUUAUUCAUGGACGGGUAUGGGUAAAUUUAGUUAAGUGGGUUGGUUUGCCACCUACAGCUUUGGCAUCCAUUAAUGAUGACUUUACCUUGACUGAGGUUCUUAACAUAUCUUUUCGAAAGAAGGCACAAAAUAAAGGGCUCAUUCACUAAGUACAUAUACGUAUACAUAAAAAUAAUACUCCAUGUAAACAUAUUUAAAUGUGUUUAUACUCCCCAUGAUAAUCAAUUCUUGAGCACUUUUUAGCUUUCACACUUCUGAUAUGGAGAUUGCCUCUUUUCUAGAUUACGUGAAGACAACCUGAAUUAUACCAUUAACCACACAUCCUAAUAAAGCUGCCUAGCUGGAAUUGUUGAUGAUAACUUUUAAUGUUUAUCAGAUUUUUUUUUUGAAACAGUAAAAGAUUAGUUUUCCUACUUCUAAUUUUCAUAACCUGAAUGAUAUUUGAUGGGUUUUCCACAUUGUACUCUAAGAUCCACCAUGGACAAAUAAUUGCAGCAUGCUCGACUUCACGACGCAAACCGCUUCUUGGAUCCCUUUUAAGGUGGCUGAUGGAAUGAAAUGACUGGCAAUCGAGUAGUCUGACAUUAGAAAUAAUUUGUAUAAUGUUAAGUCUGUUCAAAAUAAUGAUGAAUAAAUUCUUAAUUGCCGAUAUAUAAACCCAGAUUUGUGGCACCCAAUUAACAUUUCAGGGUUAGGAUAAUAUUAAUCUGAAUAUAAUAUAAUUUAGUUUGACAUAAUUUAAGGUUUGGUUACUAGAAAGUAAUUACAAGAAUUUUUUUGGGUAACUUUUUUCAUUUCAAUUGCUAUUAUUCAUGGGUAGACUUUGGUCUAUGAGUCCACUAGUAGACCAUAUAAUUCAUACAAUAGUUAUGUGAUUUCUUUUUAUAUUAUCAUAAAUCACUAACUACCACUUUUCUUAUAUUAUCAUGCCAAUCUGACUAUUAUAUAUGUAUGUAUAUAUAUAUCACAUGUCUACAUAUAGUAGACCUAGCCUAUACAUAUUAUUUUCACAGAUUAAUUUUUUCUACAUCGAUAGACGAUAGUGUAUAUAUAUUAUCAAUUUUGGAUGAAUGACAAUAAUGUUAAAAUUUGAAUUUAAGAUCUAACUUUUACACAUAUAUCAUGAAUUCAAUGGUGAUAGUGUAUACACUCUCAAUGUACAGAAAAUUUACUCUAUUUUUGGAUCUUGGGACAAUUUCUUUGAUAUUUCAUCCAUACAUAUUGUUCGAUAAAACAUGUAAGACAAAUGGGGAUAAAACAUCAUUCUUGUAUCCUUUAAAUUAUAUGUUAGAGAAAAUAAUUUAUUAUUUAGUUCAACAAUUUUCCCUAUCAACUUUGACAAAUUAAUAUUCUCAUCUUUAACAUGCAAAACAUUAUCAACUGAAUAUGGAUACCCGCAACUAUUUCCUCGUUACAAAACACAUAACAAACAAAAAAAAAGAAAUCCCUCCCUUUAAUUAAAGAAAAAAGUUAACUCAGUAUCCUAUCACCCUAGAACCUAGUAAAUUUUUUCUUUUUCUUUUUCGUUUUCAUUUAAAAAAUGAUAAAGAUUCCUAAAAUGAAGUAAAAAGCAUAAAAGUGGAUAAAUUUUUGUUUGCUGAAUAAAAAUUUCUUCAUUUUAUACUACUUAUAAUCUUUUUUAACACGCUAAUUUCUCAUUCACACGUGACGUGCAUUUAGAUUGUAAGUGUAAAACGUUUUUUUUUUUUUAAAUCCUCUCAUCCUUCCUCGCACUCUUCCCACUCUCAACUGGGAAUUUGAACAUUGAACUUGAUUGCAAGAAUGACUCUAAGAACCUGACCAUUGCACCGAUUUUAGUGGUUGUAAAAAAGCUUUUAAUAUUCUUUUCAUUCUUCCUUUCUUUGACGUGGACAAAUAUCACGUGUCAUCUCACGUGCGAAAACCCUCUUCUUGGAGGUGUCGAAAUUAUCGUUGUUGAAAGCGGUAUGUCAGCAAUGGAAGACAAUAAUCUAUUUGGGUUGACGUAACCAGAAGUGGCAUUUCCGUAGAUACGUCUGUAACGGUGUCGGAUUCCGUUAACCAUAAAUAACCGCAAAACACGGCCCGCCAAAAUUGGUUAAUGGUGUUUCGCACGCUCAUCUCCUCACGCGCCAUUCAACCCAUCGAUAAUCGCGCGGAGUAGAGCUGUAAGUGGGACCCACAGGAGUCGCGAGUGGGGACAGCGCGUGGAGGCGGCAGGAGUCGCUUUUAACUAUUGAACCGUGACUUUUUAACAGAUUUACAAUGAUGAGUUGAGAGAAUUUUCUCUGAAUUGUUUCUUAGGACCAUUACAUAUUCACAUGACAAUAUGACAUAUGCAAAUUUUGUUGCUAUUUCCACUCCAAGGAUAUUUAUAUACACCCAAGUCUAAACAAAAUGACAUAUAGAAAUGUUGUGGCUAAACUCAAGAUUUUGGAACUUAAUUUGGAACAAAAAUGUAUGGGAGAAUUUGAGGAAAAAAACUAAUAGAGGAUGGGAAAUUAAGUAGUUUCAAAAAUGAGAUGAAAUCAAUUAUUUAAGUAACAUUUUGUCCUGAAAGACAUAUGACUUAAAUGAUAUAAACAAACUAAUAAAUAAUUCACUUUCUUGAUUUUAGAGAUUAUCAUGUUUGUGCCUAUUGUUUAAGAAUGUUGUAAUUUAGAGUCAUUUUUAAUUUAGAGUUAUUUUUAAUAGGUGCACUUUUACUUUAAUAUGUCCGAAUAGAACCUUUUAAGUACAUCGAAUUUCUCAUUUAUAUUGAAGAUGGAUUUAUGUGCAUGUUUUGAAUAAGGGUAUCUCAAAGAACGAAGAUAAUUAAUAUGAUCAAUGCUAUAUUUGUAGCUUUAUAAAUUUCUAGAUUGACAAUGAAAAAAAUGAAAUCUUAAACUUGGUUUGAGAAAAAGCUUCACCACAAGUCAUAUUGAUCGUAGACAAUUACGAUCUGAGUUUGAAUUAUGGAUUAUACAUAACAAAUUCUAUUAUUCAACGUAGAGUUUUUUGUGAUGCAAUGUAUAUUAGACAAAAAAAAUUAGUUAAAAAAUGGGUUAAAAAAUGUGUUUAAUUCAUAAUAUAAAGAUAUUUUCCCAACAACAACUUGUCCAAAUGCACAUUUUUUUAUUUACUUAUUAUAUGUAUUCACCGCUAAAGUAAAUACAUGAUUUCUACUAAUUAUUUUUCUGAAGAACAAAGCAAAAAAGAUCGUUGACAAAUGCAUGUUUAGUGUUUAGUACUCUAUAUUUAUUAUCUACCAACAAGGUCUAGAUUGUAAUUUUAUUGAAGUUUUUAUAGAAAAUAUAUUGUAGUGAUUUGAUAUAUAUAUAUCUACAUAUAUGUAUAUAUAUAUAUAUAAAGUAAAAAGUGAUUAAAAUAUGUAUUCACGGAAAUGUAGAGAUUUUUUUUAUAGAAAAUCUUUUUCAAACCAGGCCCGUGCGAGGUUACUUACCAUGGGCCUAAUUUACGUUUACUAUAAAGCUUUUUAUUUUGGGACUUGCUAAAUGCACCUCCUUUUUUUUUUUUUUGUUUGAUAAUUGCUAAAUGCACUUCCAAGAAGGUCAAAUGUAAAACAUCAUUCUUGUCUACAUGUCCCAUAUGUUUACAUGAAGAAAUGGAUACAAGAAAAAUGAAAAGGGCAAAAAAUGGGACUGGGAAACAAACAUGAGAGAGAUUAGUUUGGUCUGGUAAGAAGUCAGUCAGGCCAGUAAGGCCAUCAUCCAAGUGAGAAGCUUUUCCUUUUCACUUUGCUAGUAGUUUUUGCUUUUCAAAAAGCAGACAGAUAUCGCAUCUCUGAUUCUUCUUCUUCUUCUGCUCACCCCUUCUCACUUGUUUCCAUCAUCCCUUCUUUCUCUCUGUCUUUCUCUUUCUUUCUUUCUCUCUCUCUUUCUCUCUCCCACAGAGAACUCAGGCUGCUAACUCUGCAUUGAAGAAUAAACUAACAUGUGCCAUUUCUGAGACCAAUAUUCUCUCUGCAUUGUCCAAGUUUGACUUGUAAGUACCACUCUUCUACUUCUCUACCCAUUUUUCUUGGCUGAAUUUCAUCUGGGAUGUGAUUUUUUUUUGGUUUGUUUGGUGGAGAAAUUCAUCAGGGCUGGUGGGCUGUCAAGCAUUUCUCUGUUUUUCUUUAUGCAUUUUUCCCUCAAUUCUUUGGAGGGCCUGCUUGAAAUUCUACACUUGGUUCAAUUUAAGUUAUUUUUGGAAUUUAUUUUUCUUUUUUUUUUGGGUUUUCUUGCUUGAGUUAUGAAGCAUGGGAUCUUCUUUCCUCAAUUGUGGUUUUGACUUAUGCUUGCUUCACAGAGUCUCAAUUCUUCACAGAAAGUCUCUCUGUUUACAUGUGUCUAUUCUGGUAUCUUUGUUAUCCAUAAAAAUUUUGCUGAUCAAUACUAGAAUUAGUUUGUGAGUCUAUGCUUGGAAAUGCAGAAUAGAAAAGGUAAAAUUGCUACUACAAGUUAGCAUUUCCUUGAGAGUAUUGGAGAAAAGUAUUUCUUUUUUUAUGCCACUUAUUAUUCUUUAACAAGUACUAUGUACUUUCAUGUUCCCUUUCUUUAUUCUUUUUUCCCCUUGUGAUGGUUUUACUUAGGGGAGUUAGAAGGUGUUGUUCUUUUUUUACCUUUACCUUUACUUUUUUUCUAUAUUUUUUUCAAAGAAUUGUUUUAUCCUUCGAACUUUUUGUUAUUCUUCUGUGUGAAGUCCUUCAAAUUCAUAGGUUUGGUUGUCCUCUCUUAAAAUUUAGUAGGAAUUAACAUGCAUCACUAAGAUUAUUCCUUUUUUCCUGUUUCUUAUCUGGGUCCUCAGAUGGUUAAAUUGGUUGACUGUUGUUCAGUGAUCAGUGAUUUCUCAAAUUCUGCUCUAACAUUUGGUAAACAAGGAUGAGGGUUUGGUAGUAAAUAGAGAAUAUAUGUACAUCUCUGUGACUCAGUUUUUAAUUUAUCAUAAAAUUGACGUAAAGAUGAAAAGGCAAUUGCCUUGUUAUUUACUGUUUGUUGUUUAUGUAAAUUUAGCCUACUCAUUAUCUAAUUUUCCUUAUCUUUGUUCUCUUCAGCUUCCUUUUUGAUGAAAUUGAUUUGUGUUAUGCUUGUCCAGAACAGGACACUGGAAACAUGACGAGGAUAAGUCCAGAAUUUGGAGGCGAAGUGGAAAUGCAGACAAUUCGGUCACUGUCAGCUGACGUGAGCUUUGCUUGUGAUCAAUUUCCCAAAUACAAAUUAGGCCCUGAUAAUCAAGUUUUGGAGGAGAUAGAGGAGAAUGCCAAAGGCCCACCCUUGAAGGAGGUUAUCUUGCAAGAAACUACAGAGCUAACAGAGCAGCACAAGCGUCUGUCUGUAAGAGACCUGGCUAGCAAAUUUGACAAGAAUUUGUCUGCCGCUGCUAAGUUGUCCAAUGAGGUUGUAAAUUUUUCCUUUUAGAGUUUGAAUUGCUUUCUCCUGCUUUGUUCAUUCCAAUGGGAAUAUGAGAUGCUAGAAAAAGUCAUAUGAUUGCUUCUUCUUCACAAACAUGAAAAACAAAAGGAUAAAGAUUAAAGACUUAAUUACAUGAUGUAAUUAUAGAUAAACCACCAAUUUUUCCCUAGUUGAUUUUUUGUCUCAGCUCCUUACUCCUGGAAAGAACCUAUGCAUCUGAUGAGAAACAUUCUUUCAGUUGAUACAUGUUCUAACCUUUUUGUGGAACCAGGCUAAACUUCGAGAAAUCGCUUCGUUAGAGGGACAUGUUCUUCUGAAGAAGCUUAGGGAUGCAUUGGAAUUUUUGAAAGGCAGAAUGGUUGGUCGAAACAAGGAAGACGUGGAAAAAGCAAUUUCAAUUGUCAGUAUUUUACUAAUUGAAAAUAUAAAUGUUUUCUUGUUAGAAACUUAGUUUGACUCGAAGUGUUUCUGUCAGUUGUGUCACAUAUGCAAAGAAAAUCAGUGCAAUAAAAAAAAUCAUAAAACAGAUACCUAUUAUCGGUUUUCAACUUUUGCAGGUGGAAGCUUUGGCAGUUAAGUUAACACAAAAGGAAGGGGAGUUAAUACAGGAGAAAUUUGAAGUGAAAAAGUUACUAAACUUUCUCAAACAGGUAUGGUAAUCAGUGUCAAUGUACAAAAAUAUAUUGCUGCAAGCUAUAUUAAAUCAAGAUCAAUUAUGUAUUCUAGCUAUUUUGUUGGUGAAUCCCUUUUCUUGGUACUUUUGUGACAUAUUUGAUACUCUCGUAAUUAUGAGAGGGUCCUUUCGGCCUGUUAUUUAAAUUUUACUUACUAUGAUCUUAACAUCUGGAUGUUUUAUUUUCAUUUUUGCAUGUCAACAUUGUCUCAAUCAAUGCUCCUUUUCUGUUUUUUUUUGGUCUGUCCUGCAUUUGCUGUAAAAUAUUAAACCUUGUUUCUUUAUUUCAGGCUUCAGAAGAUGCUAAAAAGUUGGUUAAUCAAGAAAGAUCUUUUGCAUGUGCUGAAAUUGAGAGUGCUAGGGCAGUUGUCCAAAGAAUUGGAGAGGCCCUUGAGGAACAAGAGCGUACUUGCCAAACUUCUGGGAAACAGGUACUUCAGGCAUCUUUGUCGUUUUGCUGUGUUUUAAUUGAAUUUAAAAAGAAUAAUCAAGUUUAGGAUUACAAAAGAAUUAACUAUCUACAACGUGGCUACUGCUUUUACUUGAAUAUGCUGUUUCACUUUGUAUCUUCUUCUGUUUACUUUGACCUACUGAUCCAUGGUCCAAAGAUGGAUUAUCUUUGGAUUUUCCACUAUGAAACAUUGGAGUCAUAAUAUUUUUGUUAUUACAUAAUUCUUCAGAUCUACAGAAAAUGGGCUUGUUGUUUUAGAAAUCUGUCCAAGUUUAAACUAAGUCAAUUAUUUUGCAGCCUAUACCACAGGAUAUCUAUUAACAUUUUAUGAGUUUUACAAAGAAAUCAUGUCAAUAUCGAGGCUGAUGAUCAAGAUAUCUUUUUGCUACCCAAUGUCUGUGAGUUUGGAAAUUUUCUACUCUUACCCACUUUCACCAAAAAGGUCCAAACCAGUCAUUCUCAUUCAUAGUGUUAUAGGAACUGUAAGGACCAUUUUUUUCCUAGUUUUCUUUUCACUAGCAUGACAGAAGGUUAAUUAGGUGCAAUACACCAGAAUUAUGUAUUUUCAGUCCUCCUGGAUCACCACAUUUACUUUGAAAUUAACAGUUGUGUCGAAGUAAUUGUAUGGGUUAAUGUUUCUUUUAAGGUGAUAAUCUUGCUUAUUGCCAAAUCAUAGUAACAUAAUUGGUAAUAUGCAUUCAGAUUUUUAAUUCCUAGCCAUGAAGAGCCAAAAUUAUUCUUUCAAUGUCAAUUGUACAAGAACUUACAAUUUUGUUUGGCUGUUAGGAAAUGGAGGAACUGAUGGAGGAGGUCCAAGAAGCUAGAAGAAUUAAACUAAAGCACCAGCCGAGCAAGGUUUGUUACUAUUUUGUUCUGAUAUGCUUUUCUACAUGGUCUUGUGGCAUUUUUUAAUUAUAUAUCUGAUUUUUCAUGCAUUUUAUUCUUUGAGCUACCUGUUCUCCUUCAAGAUUGACAAGUUUGGUUGCAGCAUAUUUCUAUGAUAUAAUAGUUAGCUGCUCAAGUCAUUAAAAGAAAAUAGUCCCGAAGUCCCAUUAAUGUUGUGAGACUAGCUAUUUUUGGUGUCCCAUUGAAAUCUUACUUUCUGAGAAUGUCAAAGUUUAUCAACUUUCCAACCUUGCCCUUAGUAAGUAGCUUAGCAAUUCAAACUUGUCCCAAUUUUUAAACACAAUAGUGAAGUGAGAUAAAGAUACAAAGUGAAAAGAAUUUCUGAAUGCCUAAGACAUUGUGCCCACCUGCUGAAGUGACAACCUUAAUCUCACCUUAGUAGUGAGGGAGUAGCUGUUUGGAUGCAGUAAGCACAAUAAUGUAUUUUGGACUUAUGUAAAUAUCUCAUCUAUAUCUGAUGGAAGAACAGAAUGAGUUUUUGGAGCAAAAUAAUUUGAGAUCUAGCUUAAUAGUGGUCCAUAAAUAUGCUCUUUAGGGCAGCUUUAGUUGCAGCUUCGAAGCCUAGGUAGCCAUUUCCUUGCUCUUUCAAUGAGGGAGGCAAGCUAAACAAGGCCUACUUAACUGCAAAAGGUGAGCUGUGAAUCCUGUCCCAUCGGCUAACCUGAUUUGUGAGAGUUGUUUUAUGGACUUUAACCAUAGGUCUUAGUUUCCAGCUGAUAUUACUGAUUUUGUCAACAUAAUAUGACAGCGAAUUCUUGUGUAUAGAUGGCUGAGCUUCAGGUGAUGAUCAACUAGGCAAAGUAACUCUAUUCAUGAUGUGCUUAAUUUUUCUUUAUUCGUUGUUUCUUAGAUUAUGCUCUUUAUCAUGAUUUUUGUUUCUAAGUUUGAAAUGUUGGAAAGUUUCCUGUUCUGAAGGUAAAUUAUCUAUAAAUAGUAAUUGUGUUCUAUCAAUUUUGUAGGUGAUGGACAUGGAAUAUGAAGUCCGAGCACUAAGAAUUGAAAUCAGAGAGAAGUCCUCAAUUUCAUUUAACCUUCAAAAAGAGGUCAACUAGAAUUUCUGGCUUCUUUUAUGCUUUUUUCUCUUACAAAUUGAACUGCAAUUCUCUUCAUUCAAUUUUCUUGUGAGUUGUGUCACCAUAUGCUUGUCCCAUGAAAUGUUAUGAAAAUUUUCAUUGUUUGAAGGCAAACUCAGGAGAUAUCUAAUUAUACUUCUACUUGUUAAGCUGACUGGAACUAGUUUCCACAACUUAUCAUUGGAGCCACUUAUUUGCUGGAUAUAUCCUGUUCCAACUUCUGUUUCACCCAUAAAUACCUAUUCUGUUCCUCUUUACUCUAUUUUGCUUGGUCCAAUUUCAGCUCAUGUUCGGUAAUUCAAGCCACUCAUCAGCUUAUAUAAUGUUAUAGUCUAUUGUCCAGGCACGCUGUGAUGAAAAUGCCUCAGGAAGAAUAGGUUUUUAGAUGUUUAUCACAUUUAAUGGUGUCCCAUCAUGAGAUGUUUCGGGCUGUGUAGUCAACUAUCAAUUCCUCUUGUUCAAGUUCAUCUGGCUCAGAAAGGAUAUCUCAACACCUAUAUUUCUAUUGUGAAUUUUUGUUGAAUGAAAAAAAAAAAGACUGUUCAACCACUACCUACUAUAACCAUAUUGAACAUGAAAAUCUAAAGUGGGAAGCUCAAGAAUGAGACUA